RNAcentral lists this transfer RNA (56 nucleotides) under Chamaeleo africanus (African chameleon). RNAcentral describes it as "tRNA-Cys". The record is from RNAcentral. Lineage: Eukaryota; Metazoa; Chordata; Lepidosauria; Squamata; Chamaeleonidae.
GAUUCAGUAGAAGUCCGGAGUGCAAAUUCGGAUAUGGUUUUAAAGACCCUGGAUUU